AUAGGUCUACAUGGCUUUACUCUAGACUCCCAAAGAUGAUGGACUACCACAUUUCAGGCUUGGACAGAAUUUCCUGGAUGGAUCAUCUUGUCACAGCAGAUCUCUUACAGAGAACAUCUUCAUUGGUGAAGCAUUCAGAAGUUGAAAAUGUGUAGCCAUUGAGAAAAAGCAAAAUCAAGGGGAGCAAAGGAUUGUGCAAACUGGAGGACAUGGGAGGUUCUUGGUCAGAAGAAAAUCUUAGAAGUCUUUUCCUUUGUCAAUACAAGAUAUGAGUGCUGGCUUGUGAAGCGCACUACCCUGGAGAACACUGCUCCUCUGAUUUCUGGGUGAAUGAACCUUGACUUUCCUGACCCUGUUAGUUGGCAAGCUAUCAAUAUGAUGCCCUGCAUGCACCAUGACGACUGUACUCUACCUUAAAAUCUAGUUGACCUGCACACAACUGAGGCCAUAGCCUUUAGGUUGGUGCUCAAAUUAGAUUGACUGUUGAGAGAGCCAUCGUGUCCCCUGGAGCAAUGUCCUCCCUGCAUCUUAGCAGAGAACACGUGGUCCUGAUUGGUACCCAGUUGCCCUCCUCCUGCUCUUCUCUGUAUUAUUCUCUGCCUUGCUUUUAAUGUAGAAGACUUGCUUUAAUAGAUCUGGUCAUAGGGGCCGGAGGAGGGUUCAUUCUGAGACUG
RNAcentral lists this long non-coding RNA (674 nucleotides) under Rattus norvegicus (Norway rat). RNAcentral's name for it is "long non-coding RNA NONRATT000877". Lineage: Eukaryota; Metazoa; Chordata; Mammalia; Rodentia; Muridae. The record is from RNAcentral.